AUCUACAGCCAUGCCACCCUGAACGUGCCUGAUCCUGUCUGAUCUUGGAAGCUCAGCAGGGUUGGGCCUGGUUAGUACUUGGAUGGGAGACCACCUAGGAAGACCAGGUGCUGUAGGCG
Molecule: ribosomal RNA, 119 nt
Filed under: Pteropus alecto (black flying fox)
Lineage: Eukaryota; Metazoa; Chordata; Mammalia; Chiroptera; Pteropodidae
Source: RNAcentral